CCUACGGGUGGCAGCAGUGAGGAAUAUUGGUCAAUGGGCGCGAGCCUGAACCAGCCAAGUAGCGUGAAGGAUGACUGCCCUACGGGUUGUAAACUUCUUUUAUAAAGGAAUAAAGUGAGGCACGUGUGCCUUUUUGUAUGUACUUUAUGAAUAAGGAUCGGCUAACUCCGUGCCAGCAGCCGCGGUAAUACGGAGGAUCCGAGCGUUAUCCGGAUUUAUUGGGUUUAAAGGGAGCGUAGAUGGGUUGUUAAGUCAGUUGUGAAAGUUUGCGGCUCAACCGUAAAAUUGCAAUUGAUACUGGCGGUCUUGAGUACAGUUGAGGUAGGCGGAAUUCGUGGUGUAGCGGUGAAAUGCUUAGAUAUCACGAAGAACCCCGAUUGCGAAGGCAGCUUACUAAGCUGUGACUGACAUUGAUGCUCGAAAGUGUGGGUAUCAAACAGGAUUAGAUACCCGUGUAGUC
This 460-nucleotide ribosomal RNA is filed under the name uncultured bacterium. RNAcentral's name for it is "partial 16S ribosomal RNA". It matches the Rfam family "Bacterial small subunit ribosomal RNA", at positions 338 to 795 of the family's 1533-position model. The record is from RNAcentral.